RNAcentral lists this ribosomal RNA (325 nucleotides) under uncultured eukaryote. Its description in RNAcentral is "partial 18S ribosomal RNA". It matches the Rfam family "Eukaryotic small subunit ribosomal RNA", at positions 1470 to 1796 of the family's 1831-position model. The record is from RNAcentral.
CCCUUAGAUGUUCUGGGCCGCACGCGCGCUACACUGAUGCAUUCAACGAGCCUAUCCUUGACCGACAGGUCCGGGUAAUCUUUGAAUCUGCAUCGUGACGGGGAUAGAUUAUUGCAAUUAUUAAUCUUCAACGAGGAGUGCCAAGUAGGCGCAAGUCAUCAGCUUGCGUCGAUUACGUCCCUGCCCUUUGUACACACCGCCCGUCGCUCCUACCGAUUGGGUGUGCUGGUGAAAUGUUCGGAUCGGCCGUUUGUCGCGGUUUCCGCGGCUCGUGGCUGAGAAGUUCAUUAAACCCUCCCACCUAGAGGAAGGAGAAGUCGUAACA